RNAcentral lists this long non-coding RNA (676 nucleotides) under Anas platyrhynchos platyrhynchos (common mallard). RNAcentral describes it as "lncRNA (ENSAPLG00000017409.1)". Lineage: Eukaryota; Metazoa; Chordata; Aves; Anseriformes; Anatidae. The record is from RNAcentral.
AUGGGAAUACUUAUACCUUAUAUAGUAACAUUUCAAAAAAUGGCAUUUAUAGGAGGUCAUGAAAAUAACCUCCUACCACGUUGUUCCACGGCUGCUGUUCCAUUUCAGGUUGGACAUAGGAAGAACAUAGAGCUAUGGUUACUUAACGGUACGGGAAGAGCACCAUCCUCUUUCACCUUUUGCUGCAUUGUUAAUGUUAGAUCCUGAUCUUACCUGUCUGAAUUCAUGCACAUGAAUGUUCCCAUUCAUUGAGGGACGGAGAGGAAAUAUGCUGAAUUACCUGUAGGAGGUGUGCCUGCUUCUGUUAAUAGAUGUACCUGCUCUAUGGAUUAAUUCCUAACUGAUCAGAUUCUGUACUGAGGUAUGCUGGAAUCCUUCUCAGGUGAGCAGAGCUACACCCAUGCAGAGCACCUUAACGUGAUUGAUUUCAUCCCACACGUUUAAACUUGCCUUACAAACUUGUUUUCAUAGCCCAACUGAAAUCUGCCCCCUCCAUUCCCCAAUUUCAGGCGAUGUCUUCUCAUAGAUCCUGCAUGCAAUAGCACCAGUGUGACCCAUCACUUCAUUACAGCAAUGUCCAAAGCUGUGUAUUGCACUGAGGAGGAGUUUAUCUGGUCAGAAUGGACCCAGUCCAGGAACAAAUAAAGGAGUUUGGAAUCUGGUUAUUUCUGGGCCA